UGGUGAAUGACAGUGCAAUUCUCCUCUGGCACACAGUCUAUGCUCAUAGUCAUACAUAAUUUGUUUGUGCCAAAGGAGAAUUGCCCUGCAAUUCACUA
Molecule: non-coding RNA, 98 nt
Organism: Spinacia oleracea (spinach)
Lineage: Eukaryota; Viridiplantae; Streptophyta; Magnoliopsida; Caryophyllales; Amaranthaceae
Source: Rfam